UCGUGCUAGAGGGGGAGCUAGCGGUGCCCUGUAACCUGCAAUCCGCUACAGCAGGCUUGAAUUCCUUGUUUAGGCAUUAAGCUGUCAGGUCAGUAUAGCUAAAAAGGUUAUGAGAGCUGGGUCCCAUGCAUCAGAAAAUCAUAAAACCCGUCAGGUUCGGAAGAAAGCAGCGGUAAGUGAAUAUUUCUGAGUGCCGUGGAUCAAUCUGGCUUGAGCCAAUUUAACUACAAACGCUGGUAGCUUAAUUGACAACACAAGGGCACGA
This 265-nucleotide signal recognition particle RNA is filed under the name Clostridiales bacterium. RNAcentral's name for it is "signal recognition particle sRNA large type". It matches the Rfam family "Bacterial large signal recognition particle RNA". Rfam says of the family: The signal recognition particle (SRP) is a universally conserved ribonucleoprotein involved in the co-translational targeting of proteins to membranes. Archaeal SRP consists of a 7S RNA and homologues of the eukaryotic SRP19 and SRP54 proteins. In most bacteria, the SRP consists of a 4.5S RNA and the Ffh protein (a homologue of the eukaryotic SRP54 protein). The record is from RNAcentral. Lineage: Bacteria; Bacillati; Bacillota; Clostridia; Eubacteriales.